GUUGGGUUGAAAAUUGACAUGAAUGAAGUUGAAAACAAUGUUGAUUCAACGUCAGCUUCCAACGUUUCAAACGGAUUGAAUGUUGGUAUAAAUUUGGUCGAUGUAUGUUGAAAACAAGUCAAUUGCUGGUUGAACUGUGGCCAAUGCAAGUGGAAAACAAGUCGAAUGUUGGUUGAACUGUGGUCAGUGAAUGCUAAUAUGAUGUUGAAUGCUAGUUGAACUGUGGUUAAUCUAUGUUGACAAUAGGUGGGAUUUGGGCCCAGGUAGACUGUUAAUGUGAUAAAUGUUGAGAAUAGGAUAUUGAACAUAAGUUAAAUUGAGGUAACCGUUUUUUUUUUUUUUUUUUACAGCUGAAAUAAUUACCCCUUAUCAAUCAUUGUCAUGUGUUGGUGGUUUAUGUACAUACGUAUGUUGCAUAGUCAAUUAUUUGUGUCAUUGAAAUUUGGGCCUGUUUCUAUUUUUAUAUUUUUAUACAUGUA
RNAcentral lists this long non-coding RNA (479 nucleotides) under Mytilus galloprovincialis (Mediterranean mussel). Lineage: Eukaryota; Metazoa; Mollusca; Bivalvia; Mytilida; Mytilidae. The record is from RNAcentral.